This 1262-nucleotide ribosomal RNA is filed under the name Vibrio cholerae. RNAcentral describes it as "partial 23S ribosomal RNA". It matches the Rfam family "Bacterial large subunit ribosomal RNA", at positions 1648 to 2889 of the family's 2925-position model. The record is from RNAcentral. Lineage: Bacteria; Pseudomonadati; Pseudomonadota; Gammaproteobacteria; Vibrionales; Vibrionaceae.
CCCAAACCGACACAGGUGGUCGGGUAGAGAAUACCAAGGCGCUUGAGAGAACUCGGGUGAAGGAACUAGGCAAAAUGGUACCGUAACUUCGGGAGAAGGUACGCUCUUGAUGGUGAAGUCCCUCGCGGAUGGAGCUGACGAGAGUCGCAGAUACCAGGUGGCUGCAACUGUUUAUUAAAAACACAGCACUGUGCAAAAUCGCAAGAUGACGUAUACGGUGUGACGCCUGCCCGGUGCCGGAAGGUUAAUUGAUGGGGUUAGCGCAAGCGAAGCUCUUGAUCGAAGCCCCGGUAAACGGCGGCCGUAACUAUAACGGUCCUAAGGUAGCGAAAUUCCUUGUCGGGUAAGUUCCGACCUGCACGAAUGGCGUAAUGAUGGCCACGCUGUCUCCACCCGAGACUCAGUGAAAUUGAAAUCGCUGUGAAGAUGCAGUGUACCCGCGGCUAGACGGAAAGACCCCGUGAACCUUUACUACAGCUUGGCACUGAACAUUGAACCUACAUGUGUAGGAUAGGUGGGAGGCUAUGAAGACGUGACGCCAGUUGCGUUGGAGCCGUCCUUGAAAUACCACCCUUGUAUGUUUGAUGUUCUAACUUAGACCCGUUAUCCGGGUUGAGGACAGUGCCUGGUGGGUAGUUUGACUGGGGCGGUCUCCUCCCAAAGAGUAACGGAGGAGCACGAAGGUGGGCUAAUCACGGUUGGACAUCGUGAGGUUAGUGCAAUGGCAUAAGCCCGCUUAACUGCGAGAAUGACGGUUCGAGCAGGUGCGAAAGCAGGUCAUAGUGAUCCGGUGGUUCUGUAUGGAAGGGCCAUCGCUCAACGGAUAAAAGGUACUCCGGGGAUAACAGGCUGAUACCGCCCAAGAGUUCAUAUCGACGGCGGUGUUUGGCACCUCGAUGUCGGCUCAUCACAUCCUGGGGCUGAAGUCGGUCCCAAGGGUAUGGCUGUUCGCCAUUUAAAGUGGUACGCGAGCUGGGUUUAGAACGUCGUGAGACAGUUCGGUCCCUAUCUGCCGUGGGCGUUGGAAGAUUGAAGGGGGCUGCUCCUAGUACGAGAGGACCGGAGUGGACGAACCUCUGGUGUUCGGGUUGUGUCGCCAGACGCAUUGCCCGGUAGCUAAGUUCGGAAUUGAUAAGCGCUGAAAGCAUCUAAGCGCGAAGCGAGCCCUGAGAUGAGUCUUCCCUGAUACUUUAAGUAUCCUAAAGGGUUGUUCGAGACUAGAACGUUGAUAGGCAGGGUGUGUAAGCGUUGUGAGGCGUUGA